ACAAUGGUGGUUCAGUGGCAGAAUCCUCACCUUCCAUGUGGGAGACACAGGGUCAAUUCCUGGCCAGUGCA
RNAcentral lists this transfer RNA (71 nucleotides) under Loxodonta africana (African savanna elephant). It matches the Rfam family "tRNA". Rfam says of the family: Transfer RNA (tRNA) molecules are approximately 80 nucleotides in length. Lineage: Eukaryota; Metazoa; Chordata; Mammalia; Proboscidea; Elephantidae. The record is from Rfam by way of RNAcentral.